CCCCUGAGAAAUGAUUCGGUUGGACUGACAAGAGUCAGGUGCCUAUGCCCACUCCUGGGUAUUGAGGGCCUUGCUCAGAUGAGGGGAGAUCAUUGAGCCCCACAGUCACUUCAGUUUACAUCCACCCCAAUAUGUGGCAAUGGGCAAGUUCCUUCACUCCUCUGAGCCUUGGUUUCUCCAUUGUAAAAUGAAAAAGUGAGUGAAAU
Molecule: long non-coding RNA, 206 nt
Filed under: Homo sapiens (human)
Lineage: Eukaryota; Metazoa; Chordata; Mammalia; Primates; Hominidae
Description: non-protein coding lnc-SP9-9:1
Source: RNAcentral